This 376-nucleotide ribosomal RNA is filed under the name uncultured bacterium. Its description in RNAcentral is "bacterial SSU rRNA". It matches the Rfam family "Bacterial small subunit ribosomal RNA", at positions 524 to 898 of the family's 1533-position model. The record is from RNAcentral.
UACGAAGGGUGCAAGCGUUACUCGGAAUUACUGGGUGUAAAGCGUGCGUAGGUGGUUGUUUAAGUCUGUCGUGAAAGCCCUGGGCUCAACCUGGGAAUUGCGAUGGAAACUGGGCGACUAGAGUGUGGCAGAGGGUAGUGGAAUUCCUGGUGUAGCAGUGAAAUGCGUAGAGAUCAGGAGGAACAUCCGGGGCGAAGGCGACUGCCUGGGCCAACACUGACACUGAGGCACGAAAGCGUGGGGAGCAAACAGGAUUAGAUACCCUGGUAGUCCACGCCCUAAACGAUGCGAACUGGAUGUUGGGUGCAAUUUGGCACGCAGUAUCGAAGCUAACGCGUUGAGUUCGCCGCCUGGGGAGUACGGUCGCAAGACUGAA